Arabidopsis lyrata subsp. lyrata is the source of this 422-nucleotide long non-coding RNA. RefSeq lists it as uncharacterized. NCBI's taxonomy places the organism in Eukaryota, Viridiplantae, Streptophyta, Magnoliopsida, Brassicales, Brassicaceae. The record is from RefSeq and is a predicted model, not a curated record. The transcript has 2 exons.
AAAUUCACUAUCUCAUCUUUCUAUUCUGUGCCAAAACAGACAUAUCACGAGACGUCAUUAACGUUCCGUUUACUGUAGAUUAUGUGGCUGCCAACUCACUAAUGACAUGUUUAAGACUUAAUAAAAACACCAAAAAUUAGAAUAAAACGAUUAGACUUCAAUCCAUUAACCUACAUCUUUAUUUCUAAAUUCAUUUAACAUAUUGUCUUCCUCUCGAUUGUGACUAAUAAGAACACAAAUCUGAAUUCCUCUUGCAUGGUACACGAAAUUACAUAAAUCUGAAGAUAUUGGCAACGAUUUCGAACAAGGAGUUGUUGUUGCUUCUCGCCUAUUGGAACAAUGAGCGAUGAAGAUGUAGAUGCAGUAUUUCAGUGCUAUUACGAUGGAAAUUUUUGUAGUCUCACAAGGAAUAAACUUAGCUA